UACGUAGGGUGUAAGCGUUAAUCGGAAUUACUGGGCGUAAAGCGUGCGCAGGCGGUUUUGUAAGCCAGAUGUGAAAGCCCCGGGCUCAACUCGGGAACUGCGCUUGAUACUGUCGAGCUAGAGUGUGGAAGGGGCGAUUGGAAUUCCGUGUGUAGCGGUGAAAUGCGUAGAUAUACGGAGGAACACCAGAGGCGAAGGCGGAUCGCUGGGCCAACACUGACGCUGAGACGCGAAAGCUAGGGUAGCAAACGGGAUUAGAAACCCCGGUAGU
This 271-nucleotide ribosomal RNA is filed under the name uncultured bacterium. RNAcentral describes it as "partial 16S ribosomal RNA". It matches the Rfam family "Bacterial small subunit ribosomal RNA", at positions 524 to 794 of the family's 1533-position model. The record is from RNAcentral.